Molecule: transfer RNA, 72 nt
Filed under: Sedimentisphaerales bacterium
Lineage: Bacteria; Pseudomonadati; Planctomycetota; Phycisphaerae; Sedimentisphaerales
Description: tRNA-Ile
Rfam family: tRNA
About the family: Transfer RNA (tRNA) molecules are approximately 80 nucleotides in length. Their secondary structure includes four short double-helical elements and three loops (D, anti-codon, and T loops).
Source: RNAcentral
GGGCCCGUAGCUCAGCGGUAGAGCAGGGGACUCAUAAUCCCUUGGUCGCUGGUUCGAAUCCAGCCGGGCCCA